This 631-nucleotide ribosomal RNA is filed under the name Corynebacterium aurimucosum. Its description in RNAcentral is "bacterial SSU rRNA". It matches the Rfam family "Bacterial small subunit ribosomal RNA", at positions 907 to 1533 of the family's 1533-position model. The record is from RNAcentral. Lineage: Bacteria; Bacillati; Actinomycetota; Actinomycetes; Mycobacteriales; Corynebacteriaceae.
GAAUUGACGGGGGCCCGCACAAGCGGCGGAGCAUGUGGAUUAAUUCGAUGCAACGCGAAGAACCUUACCUGGGCUUGACAUACACCGGAUCGGGCUAGAGAUAGUCUUUCCCUUGUGGCUGGUGUACAGGUGGUGCAUGGUUGUCGUCAGCUCGUGUCGUGAGAUGUUGGGUUAAGUCCCGCAACGAGCGCAACCCUUGUCUUAUGUUGCCAGCAUUUGGUUGGGGACUCAUGAGAGACUGCCGGGGUUAACUCGGAGGAAGGUGGGGAUGACGUCAAAUCAUCAUGCCCCUUAUGUCCAGGGCUUCACACAUGCUACAAUGGUCGGUACAACGCGCAGCGACACUGUGAGGUGGAGCGAAUCGCUGAAAGCCGGCCUUAGUUCGGAUUGGGGUCUGCAACUCGACCCCAUGAAGUCGGAGUCGCUAGUAAUCGCAGAUCAGCAACGCUGCGGUGAAUACGUUCCCGGGCCUUGUACACACCGCCCGUCACGUCAUGAAAGUUGGUAACACCCGAAGCCAGUGGCCUAAACUUGUUAGGGAGCUGUCGAAGGUGGGAUCGGCGAUUGGGACGAAGUCGUAACAAGGUACCCGUACCGGAAGGUGCGGGUGGAUCACCUCCUUUCUAAGGAG